This is a long non-coding RNA of Pomacea canaliculata, 1475 nucleotides long. RefSeq lists it as uncharacterized. The transcript has 2 exons. NCBI's taxonomy places the organism in Eukaryota, Metazoa, Mollusca, Gastropoda, Architaenioglossa, Ampullariidae. The record is from RefSeq and is a predicted model, not a curated record.
UGAAUGUCGGAUGAAGGAAGUCAGCUACCAUCCCUUCCGCUAUGGCAGGAUUGUAGAGGAUAUCGACGGACUUAGAUUGCGCGUGCUAUUCUACAAUGAGCAGAGGCCUGAACCGUAUUUUAGCUAUGAGCAGCUGCGUGAAGGCAACUUCCUGUGUCUGGCCAAUGCCAUGAUUCACGUUUUUGCCGACAGUACCUGUGGGCUUUAGAGUGAACGAUCCCUCCCUCGUUCACAUCAUAGAACUUUUUUGACAGGCGAACAGAGCGUAAGUCACACUCAUACAGCUGCUUUUAGAGACCUGUUUAUGUGAACAGACUGUGUUUCAAUAUUAUAGAGAAGUGUGUUUAUGUGAACAGACUGUGUGUCAACCUUAUAAACAAGUGUGUUUAUGUGAACAGAGUGUCAACAUUAUACAUAGGCGUGUUUUUUGUGAGCAAACUGUACACGAACUUGUAUUAUCUAUACACAUCUAUGCCUGUAUGUCAAUAGCACACUAACUUCAAUCACUGAACUCUUUUGUGUGACGAGUGACGCCCCUACACUGGAAUCAACAUCAACACAUGCAAGUGACAACUGUACCUGACUUCAGGGACGUCCUGCUCCUGCUCACCCUGUCAGCUAUCCUGUUUAUAGACUUUCUCCGUGUACGGCUGAAAGUGGGAAGAACACACAUCAAGAAUUGUGGAGAUGUCGAGAUUGAAUUUGUUGUUAUUUUCCCUCCCCUCUCAUUUAUCUAGUCACAAUCUGAUAAGCAGACAAGUAUCCAUCCAGUCCACACAUAUACACACUAGGGGAAGCAACUCUGUCCCAACCAGCUAGAAGUUGAAAGUUGUCUCGCCUGGCUGCACAACACAUUUCCUAAUUUUAGACAUUUUUAUGGCAUGAAUCUAUUUAAAUAAUCAGUUUGAUAGAAACUAACUUUUGUUGUUGAUAAAAUGAAACUGUUUGAGCCAGACUUUUCACUCCGUUGGCAUAUUUUUCGUCUGCAACUCAUCGAAAUGAAACAGAAGCGAUUUUUAAAUAAUAUUUGUAACUUUGUUUCCUUGGAACAGUUGUAAGUUUUACACACACUUUUGAGCAUCUAGCCCCAGUCUUCUUGUACUGUGCUUGCUGACUGGGAAGUGCUGGUAGGUGUCAGCUGUAACAUGUCCACCCGAUUGUUUGAAGCUGUAUUUUUAUUUAAGUUAUGUUUAUUUAAUGUAUCUAAUACUGUUUCAAUUCAGUAGUUCACCUGGUCAUAUUAUUGUAACAAAUAUUUUUUUUAAUAAACAAAGCACGUUUAAGAAGAAGAAGAAAACAUAUCUCGCACAGCACUCUCGUCCGUGAUCCUCCCACUAAUUAUUUCGGGGCCCUAACAGUUUAGCCAAGUCUGUCAAUGGUUAUUAUGGGUAAUAUCAGUUGUUGCAUCUGUGACACCUGUAUUGUGCACGUGCACCUGUAUUGUGGACAAGUUUAUUAAAUUAUAAAGAAAAAAA